RNAcentral lists this unclassified non-coding RNA (210 nucleotides) under Hevea brasiliensis (rubber tree). The record is from RNAcentral. Lineage: Eukaryota; Viridiplantae; Streptophyta; Magnoliopsida; Malpighiales; Euphorbiaceae.
UUUCAGAGGGUUCUGACAUACAGCUAGGAAUUGUCAUGGGAAAGGUGCCAUUAGUGUUAGGUACAGUUGAUUUUGAAGCCUCAAUAUAUGUUUUUCUUGAAUAUCAUUCACUGCUCCUAUUUGUAUUAAAUCUUGAUGUCAAAGUAUUCCGUUGGUUGAUUAAUUCAUUAUUUUUUGUUGAUUUUCUUUAAAAGAAUUAAACACACACAC